GCUCAGAUUGAACGCUGGCGGCAUGGCUAAAACAUGCAAGUCGAACGAGAAGCAGGCUUCGGCCUGUGGACAGUGGCGAAAGGGCGAGGAAUACGUUUCUAACGUGCCCCGAGGUUAGGGAUAGCCCAGGGAAACCUGGAUUAAUACCUGAUGAUCCCGCGAUGUCGUAUGUCAUUGCGGGCAAAGAUUUAUUGCCUUGGGAUCGGGAAACGUCCUAUCAGCUUGUUGGUGAGGUAAAGGCUCACCAAGGCUAAGACGGGUAGCGGGUGUGAGAGCACGACCCGCCGCAUCGGGACUGAGACACUGCCCGGACUCCUACGGGAGGCUGCAGUAACGAAUAUUCCGCAAUGCGCGAAAGCGUGACGGAGCAAUGCCGCGUGAAGGAUGAAGCACCUCGGUGUGUAAACUUCUGUCAGGGUUUAGGAAACAAAUGACCAUACCCAAAGGAAGAGCCGGCUAACUCUGUGCCAGCAGCCGCGGUAAUACAGAGGGCUCAAGCGUUAAUCGGAAUCACUGGGCUUAAAGGGUGCGCAGGCGGACUCGUCAGUGUCUUGUGAAAUCCCACGGCUCAACCGUGGAACUGCAGGGCAUACUGCGAGUCUUGAACCCGACAGGGGCAACCGGAACUCUAGGUGGAGCGGUGAAAUGCGUAGAUAUCUAGAGGAACGCCAAAGGCGAAGGCAGGUUGCUGGGUCGGUGUUGACGCUCAGGCACGAAAGCGUGGGUAGCGAACGGGAUUAGAUACCCCGGUAGUCCAC
RNAcentral lists this ribosomal RNA (758 nucleotides) under uncultured Planctomycetia bacterium. RNAcentral describes it as "bacterial SSU rRNA". It matches the Rfam family "Bacterial small subunit ribosomal RNA", at positions 22 to 798 of the family's 1533-position model. The record is from RNAcentral. Lineage: Bacteria; Pseudomonadati; Planctomycetota; Planctomycetia.